Peromyscus maniculatus bairdii (prairie deer mouse) is the source of this 840-nucleotide long non-coding RNA. RefSeq lists it as uncharacterized. The record is from RefSeq and is a predicted model, not a curated record. NCBI's taxonomy places the organism in Eukaryota, Metazoa, Chordata, Mammalia, Rodentia, Cricetidae.
AGAUACCACUAGCUGGAGAAGUAUGUAGAUAGGGAGAGAAAAGCUUGGGCUUCUGGGGGUGGUCCCAUUGCCCCAAAACGGGAGAGGGUGGCAGUCUUGAUAGCAGAAACAAAAACCAGGAAAUGUGUCUGAGGCAGUACCUAUUAUUUAAGUGACAGCUGUGCAUGGAUGUUGUCCUGAGAAAUCCACCUGGAGGGCAGAAACUCAGAGCAGAGCCCCAGCCCACACAAAACAGACAUGCGGGGCGGUGUCUUCUUCCAGGGACUCACACAAAGACAGGGACGAGAGAAUCCUCACCUGGACAUGGUGGUUCAGAACUGGAAUUCCAGCACUGAGAAGACCGAGAGCCUUUAUGGCAUGACUAUCAGGAAAGCAACUACUGUGAAUCUUCUGAGGUGAGACCCCAGCACCACAGACAAAAGACCCAAGAAUCCAUCCUACUGUGGAGACGGAGGGAAAGGCCUCUGGAAAACAUCACCUGAAGCAGAAGCUGCCAGGGUAAGAGCAGGUGGCUGUGACCUUGUGACUUCUCAUCCCCUAAGCCAGUGGCUCUCAACCUUCCUAGUGCUGCGAUCCUUUAAUACAGUUCCUCGUGUUGUGGUGACCCCCAACCACAAAAUUAUUUCAUUGCUACUUCGUAACUAUAAUUUCGCUACUGUUAUGAAUUGUAAUGUAAAUAUCUGAAAUGCAGGAUAUCUGAUAUGUGAACCCCCACAGGUUGAUAAAUGCUGCCCUGAGUGCUUAGCAUCACUGUGUCUUAUUAGUUAGAAUUCCUUAGUACUGCACACCUGACAUCAAUGUAAUUUCCAAUGUCCCGAGGAAUAAAGGGGGUGUUUUGUU